UGGCUCAGUGGUUAAGAGCACUGGCUGCUUCUCCAGAGGACUUGGGUUCAAUUCCCAG
Molecule: non-coding RNA, 58 nt
Organism: Cricetulus griseus (Chinese hamster)
Lineage: Eukaryota; Metazoa; Chordata; Mammalia; Rodentia; Cricetidae
Source: Rfam